AGACACCCCAGAGUCCCAGGAAGCAUGCGGCCAGGAGCUCUUCUGAAGCCAGGAGGAAGGUAGUCAGUCGCAGCAGCCGGUACUUGGUGAAGGACAAGCAGAGGAGCGGGUUCCCGCGACCUUGACUUCUCAGCUGCCCGUGUUAUCAACGGCUCAAAGACUCCAAAAACCUGCGGAAGAAGCCACGAAAAAGCAAAGAUGACCUGCUGAAAGCAGUUAUGGAUCACUCUGCCAGAGAGAAUCAAAAAGUGCAGGACUGGAG
This is a non-coding RNA of Chelonoidis abingdonii (Abingdon island giant tortoise), 262 nucleotides long. NCBI's taxonomy places the organism in Eukaryota, Metazoa, Chordata, Testudines, Testudinidae. The record is from RefSeq and is a predicted model, not a curated record.